Long non-coding RNA from Heteronotia binoei (common prickly gecko), 382 nucleotides. RefSeq lists it as uncharacterized. The transcript has 3 exons. The record is from RefSeq and is a predicted model, not a curated record. Lineage: Eukaryota; Metazoa; Chordata; Lepidosauria; Squamata; Gekkonidae.
AUUUCUCCCUUUUUCCUUAGGUAUCUUCAUUAACUCCUAGGUUCCUGAAGAUUAAGAGUCUUGAACAAAGUGACAUUUUUGGCUUGCUGGAGUUAAUGGACAAAUCCUAUGCUCUUCAGCUCAGUCUGAUCAGUGAAGGUGCAGACUGCAUAUUUAUUCCCAAAAAGCUUUUUUUAGAGGAAGCACCUUCCAAAUCCAGGCAAAUAGCAUUGGAGAUGGUGAGAGGCUAUCCCACAGAGAGUGUGAUCCAUGAGAGCUAUAUUGUACAACAAGAAUGGAGCACGUACAAGACCAAACUUAUUGGACCACUCCUUGACAGAUGGCAUAAGAAAACUCCAGCAACUAGCAAUGUUUGCUGGUAAGCUUAUUUCCUGUAUAUGUG